RNAcentral lists this long non-coding RNA (1837 nucleotides) under Callithrix jacchus (white-tufted-ear marmoset). RNAcentral's name for it is "lncRNA (ENSCJAG00000076528.1)". Lineage: Eukaryota; Metazoa; Chordata; Mammalia; Primates; Cebidae. The record is from RNAcentral.
GUUCAACUGGAUGUAGAGAGUGUGAUGAUGGAUCUCAGAGACUUGGAAGGGCAGAAGUUAGAGGAGGUGGAUGAGGAGAAAUUACUUAAUGAACACUAUGAACGGUAUUCAGAGACUAGGUCUUGCUGUGUUGCCCAGUCUGGUUGUGAACUCCUGGAACCAAGUGAUACUCCCUCCUCAGCCUCCCAGAGUGUUGGGAUUACAGAUGUGAGUCAUGGCAUCUGGCCUAAAUUUUACUUUCGAUUUAAAAAAAGACACUGACAUAAGGUAUAAAAGUUUGGAAAAUUUCCCCAAAACCUGCUUUCCUGCUUUUUUUAGAGGGACUCUUUCUAGGAGCCCGCAGGCCGGCAAACCGAAGCCCACGGGGCAGACACAGCCUGCAGACUGUUUCUUUGGCUAAAGCACCUUUGGAAAACUUUCAUUUAUUUAUGACUGCGUUCACACUGCAGUGGCGGAGUCAAGUAGGGUAGUAGCGACGAGACUACAAAGUUGAAAGCAUUUACCAGCUGACCCUUUGCAGAAAAAUUUGCCACCACUGGCCUAGACUGUGGUGGAUCUCUGAGGAAAAGCCCCAGGCCCUUCUCUGCUCUCCCCAUCCCAUGCCAGAUCCCAAAAGGAAGGCUGUGGGAGGAACAUUCAGAGACGGUUGGAGAUCGACGGCUCAAGGAGUCAAAACAGGUUUGGGAGAUCAGGCUGUUUCGAUCUCACAUAUUUGGGUUGUCUAGACUGCUGGUUGUGAGACUGUCUUACUAUUUACACAUUCUCUAUGAAGCACAGGGAGUGAUGGUCUGUGCUUUUUCCAGACCCAAGAUCUGCGUUCCCAUGAGACCAGUCGAAGCUGUGGAUUUGGCCUUACUAGUGAUGCAGCCGCUCCCAGGACCAGCCCUUGAGUUUGAUUAUUUGCCAUCUGACCUGCAUUCUGGAAUCAGGAACAUUUGUUUAACACAAACGUCACCAUAUUGUUGUUUUCUGGCUGUGCUUUGAGCAAAGACUUCAGCACUUGGAGGUUGCCAUUUUCUUUCUUUAAAGUUGUUCACAGCAGCAAUUACUCAGUUACGAGACUUUGAAUAAUCCAGUGAUGAGGGCUUGAAUUAUGUCAUAUUAUAGAGCUGGGAAAGACAGGAUAGAGAAAAAAAUGAUUUGGGGAGCAGAACCUCCUGAAUGUGGGGAGUAAUUGCAGUGUGACUGGACACUGUACAAGUUGUUCCGGGAGAUUCCAAAGUUCCCGGCUUGAAUCGCAGGUGGUGUGGGCUCCACAGAACUAACUCAGGUUCUGAAGGUCAAGGUGUAAAAAUCAUUUCAGGUAUGGAAAUAUUGAGACUGAGUUUCUGUGACAUUCACAGAAAGAAAUUUGAUUUGAAUCUUCACAUAUAGAUGUAGACUUAAGAGGAGUGAUUAGGACUAGAGACAGAGACUUGGCACUUAGCAUAAAGCUGGAAAUCAGGCCACUGUAAUGAACAGAUGAGUGACUCUAUAAGUUUUGAUGUUAUUAGUUGAGCACCAUUUCUCAUUCCUUUUGGUCUUAGGUAAACGUCACAGAUUUCCUUUUCAGUCUUACUGCUAUUCCAAUGUUCUUAUCACAUGAUAUAUACAUUAACCACUGGCUAAAUAGGCUGUGGUACCUGGCAGAAAUGGGUAAUAUUUUUGUAUGUUUUUCAAUAAAAUUUUUUUCCAACAAAUAUAUUUAGUUGUAAAUUAUUUUUAAUCAAAGAGCGAGUGUGAUAUAAUGAAAGAGUCAUUCAGGUGAGUUCUAGUCAUGUUGCUUUCAUUGUAGUGUGUGAUUUCAAUUACAUGAGAGCUCAGAGAGCUUGUUUCACUCCUUAUAAAUUGGUGAUAG